RNAcentral lists this ribosomal RNA (491 nucleotides) under uncultured bacterium. RNAcentral's name for it is "partial 16S ribosomal RNA". It matches the Rfam family "Bacterial small subunit ribosomal RNA", at positions 29 to 506 of the family's 1533-position model. The record is from RNAcentral.
AGUGAACGCUGGCGGUAGGCCUAACACAUGCAAGUCGAACGGCAGCACAGUAAGAGCUUGCUCUUACGGGUGGCGAGUGGCGGACGGGUGAGGAAUACAUCGGAAUCUACUUUUUCGUGGGGGAUAACGUAGGGAAACUUACGCUAAUACCGCAUACGACCUACGGGUGAAAGCAGGGGAUCUUCGGACCUUGCGCGAUUGAAUGAGCCGAUGUCGGAUUAGCUAGUUGGCGGGGUAAAGGCCCACCAAGGCGACGAUCCGUAGCCGGUCUGAGAGGAUGAUCAGCCACACUGGAACUGAGACACGGUCCAGACUCCUACGGGAGGCAGCGGGGGGGAAUAUGGGACAAUGGGCGAAAGCCUGAUCAAGCCAUACCGCGGGGGUGAAGAAGGCCUUCGGGUUGUAAAGCCUUUUUGUUGGGAAAGAAAAGCAGCAGGUUAAUACCCCGCUGUUCUGACGGUACCAAAAGAAUAAGCACCGGCUAACUUCGU